GGUUUUUUUUCGCCUAUAGAACGCCGUCAUGGGGUGUCGGGGGUCGAAGGUUCAAAUCCUUUCAUGCCGACCA
RNAcentral lists this transfer RNA (73 nucleotides) under Yersinia frederiksenii Y225. RNAcentral describes it as "tRNA-Pro (GGG) (tRNA-Pro-GGG-2-1)". The record is from RNAcentral. RNAcentral also lists the same sequence under 1 other name. Lineage: Bacteria; Pseudomonadati; Pseudomonadota; Gammaproteobacteria; Enterobacterales; Yersiniaceae.